Papaver somniferum (opium poppy) is the source of this 515-nucleotide long non-coding RNA. RefSeq lists it as uncharacterized. NCBI's taxonomy places the organism in Eukaryota, Viridiplantae, Streptophyta, Magnoliopsida, Ranunculales, Papaveraceae. The record is from RefSeq and is a predicted model, not a curated record. The transcript has 2 exons.
UCUUCUCUCUCCUUCUUUCCCUUCUCUUCUUCUCUUUGCUUUUCUCUGGUGAUUCUUCAAGUUUUGAGAGAUGGAAUUAAGUUACAAGAUCGUGAGGGCUAGGUAGAGAGCAAGGAUUGAUCGAGAGUGAUGAUGUUGAUUCGAGUCUCGAAUUCAAAGUUCUCAGAAAAGUAGUCUAUAUUAACAACAAUCGAUUCAAAGGAUGAACCAGUGGAUUGAGGAAUUCAAGGUAGGAGUGGCUUGUCAUCAAAUCAGGUGGGAACUCUGUAACUUUCUUGUAAUCAUUGAGAUUUCUUUCUAUCUGCGAGCAUGAUGUGUUUUUAAUAUCAGUAUGUGCAAUGUUUGCAAUGAAUGUAAAUAUGUGUGUAAUAUGUGUUGUGUGAAUUCCCUGCAAGGAGUGACCGUGUUUCCCCACGGCUUCUUGCUAUGUUCUAUGUAGGCCGGGGAAAGCCGGUCGAAUAUUACGCACUUUACAUUUUUUAGUAGACCGGGGGAAGCCGGUUAAAUAUUAUGCA